RNAcentral lists this ribosomal RNA (747 nucleotides) under uncultured Oribacterium sp. RNAcentral's name for it is "bacterial SSU rRNA". It matches the Rfam family "Bacterial small subunit ribosomal RNA", at positions 28 to 776 of the family's 1533-position model. Lineage: Bacteria; Bacillati; Bacillota; Clostridia; Lachnospirales; Lachnospiraceae. The record is from RNAcentral.
GACGAACGCUGGCGGCGUGCUUAACACAUGCAAGUCGAACGUGAUUUUUGUGGAAAUUCUUUCGGGAAUGGAAAUGAAAUGAAAGUGGCGAACGGGUGAGUAACACGUGAGCAACCUACCUUACACAGGGGGAUAGCCGUUGGAAACGACGAUUAAUACCGCAUGAGACCACAGAAUCGCAUGAUAUAGGGGUCAAAGAUUUAUCGGUGUAAGAAGGGCUCGCGUCUGAUUAGCUAGUUGGAAGGGUAAAGGCCUACCAAAGCGACGAUCAGUAGCCGAUCUGAGAGGAUGAACGGCCACAUUGGGACUGAGACACGGCCCAAACUCCUACGGGAGGCAGCAGUGGGAGAUAUUGCACAAUGGGGGGAACCCUGAUGCAGCGACGCCGCGUGAGUGAAGAAGUAUUUCGGUAUGUAAAGCUCUAUCAGCAGGGAAGAUAAUGACAGUACCUGAAUAAGAAGCCCCGGCUAACUACGUGCCAGCAGCCGCGGUAAUACGUAGGGGGCAAGCGUUAUCCGGAUUUACUGGGUGUAAAGGGAGCGUAGACGGAAUGGCAAGUCUGAAGUGAAAUGCCCGGGCUCAACCCGGGAACUGCUUUGGAAACUGUCGAUCUGGAGUGUUGGAGAGGUAAGUGGAAUUCCUGGUGUAGCGGUGAAAUGCGUAGAGAUCAGAAAGAACACCGGAGGCGAAGGCGGCUUACUGGACAAAGACUGACGUUGAGGCUCGAAAGCGUGGGAAGCAAACAGG